UACGAAGGGGGCUAGCGUUGCUCGGAAUUACUGGGCGUAAAGCGCACGUAGGCGGCUCUUUAAGUCGGGGGUGAAAUCCUGGAGCUCAACUCCAGAACUGCCUUCGAUACUGUAGAGCUUGAGUUCGGGAGAGGUGAGUGGAACUGCGAGUGUAGAGGUGAAAUUCGUAGAUAUUCGCAAGAACACCAGUGGCGAAGGCGGCUCACUGGCCCGAUACUGACGCUGAGGCGCGAAAGCGUGGGGAGCAAACGGG
Molecule: ribosomal RNA, 253 nt
Filed under: uncultured bacterium
Lineage: Bacteria
Description: partial 16S ribosomal RNA
Rfam family: Bacterial small subunit ribosomal RNA
Source: RNAcentral